AGCAUGCCAUCAAACCUUGAAGUCAUGUCCACCAGAAUUCCACGGAUACAACAGCUCUUGCUUCUACGCUGGAUCAGUUGAAAUGACUUGGUAUCAAGCUAAGAAAUUCUGCAUAAAUAAAUGUGCAAAACUAGCAGAUUUUGAAUCCAUGAAAGAAUUAAUCGAUGUAUCUAAUAUACGUCUUCACUCGUCUGGUAUUCAUCACGGAAUUCCUAUAUUUAUGUUCUGGACCGAUGGAUGGGCUGAGGGUCAUAGUAAAAACUGGACAUGGUCAUCAACUGGAUCCACUAUAAAUGCAGAGUUGACCCAACAACUUAUAGUUAUGGACACGUUUCUAGAUCCUAACACUUGUUUGUGGAUAUAUAAACAUGUUGGGCCAUUCCAUACUAGAGAAUCAUAUUGUAGUGACAUGCAUAAUCCUUUGUGUGAAGUGAAAAUAAAUCCUGAAUAGCAUUUCGUAACAGAUUUAAUGAAAUACAGCGUUCUAUGCAAAACAAGUUGUUAUGUUUUAUCCAGAAAAUUGUAUUAUUUUAAAACAGAAAUCAAUACAUGGGUGCUUACUUAUUGACAGUAGAACUUUAAGUAGUAUAAAAAUAUAUAUUUGUUAACAAAGUAGUAUCAAUAUUUUUUAUUCAAAACUUUCAUCAGUAUCUCUACGUGAUAACGAUAUCAUUCCACCAGUGGCGAAGAGUUAUUCUAAAAUAAUCCUUAUCGUGAACGUUCAAUUUUAAAAAAUUAAGAGCCAAUGCUAUAUGAAUACUCUUGUAUAAAAACUUAAUCUAUUUUCAAAGGUACAAAUGAGAAAACGUUUUAAAAACUGUAUAUGUAUCUAAAAGAAACGAAGUUCUUAUAUUUUAGUGAUCUCGAAGUUGUGAAUGUUUUGAAUACCAAACAUAUAAU
Long non-coding RNA from Mytilus californianus (California mussel), 900 nucleotides. RefSeq lists it as uncharacterized. Lineage: Eukaryota; Metazoa; Mollusca; Bivalvia; Mytilida; Mytilidae. The transcript is spliced from 3 exons. The record is from RefSeq and is a predicted model, not a curated record.